CCAAUAGCGUAUAUUAAAGUUGUUGCAGUUAAAAAGCUCGUAGUUGAAUUUCGGGAUCAAUACGUCGGUCGUGCUUCGGUACGUACUGGCGUCAUUGAUUUCUCCCUUCUGACGAACCACGAUGUCAUUAACUUGGUGUCAUGGGAAAUCAGGACUGUUACUUUGAAAAAAUUAGAGUGUUUAAAGCAGGCUCACGCUUGAAUACAUUAGCAUGGAAUAAUGAAAUAGGACGUUCGAUCCUAUUUUGUUGGUUUUAGGAUCAACGUAAUGAUUAAUAGGGAUAGUUGGGGGCAUUAGUAUUCAAUUGUCAGAGGUGAAAUUCUUGGAUUUAUUGAAGACUAACUACUGCGAAAGCAUUUGCCAAGGAUGUUUUCAUUAAUCAAGAACGAAAGUUAGGGGAUCGAAGACGAUCAGAUACCGUCGUAGUCUUAACCAUAAACUAUGCCGACUAGGGAUCGGAUGAUGUUAAUUUUUUAAUGACUCAUUCGGCGCCUUACG
RNAcentral lists this ribosomal RNA (498 nucleotides) under uncultured Glomeromycotina. Its description in RNAcentral is "partial small subunit ribosomal RNA". It matches the Rfam family "Eukaryotic small subunit ribosomal RNA", at positions 591 to 1092 of the family's 1831-position model. Lineage: Eukaryota; Fungi; Glomeromycota. The record is from RNAcentral.